GGACUACAGGGGUAUCUAAUCCUGUUUGCUCCCCACGCUUUCGCGCCUCAGCGUCAGUAUCGGGCCAGUGAGUCGCCUUCGCCACUGGUGUUCUUCCGAAUAUCUACGAAUUUCACCUCUACACUCGGAGUUCCACUCACCUCUCCCGAACUCAAGAUAUCCAGUAUUAAAGGCUAUUCCAGGGUUGAGCCCUGGGCUUUCACCUCUAACUUAAAUAUCCGCCUACGCGCCCUUUACGCCCAGUAAUUCCGAGCAACGCUAGCCCCCUUCGUAUUACCGCGGCUGCUGGCAC
Molecule: ribosomal RNA, 292 nt
Filed under: uncultured Alphaproteobacteria bacterium
Lineage: Bacteria; Pseudomonadati; Pseudomonadota; Alphaproteobacteria
Description: partial 16S ribosomal RNA
Source: RNAcentral